This is a long non-coding RNA of Vollenhovia emeryi, 474 nucleotides long. RefSeq lists it as uncharacterized. The record is from RefSeq and is a predicted model, not a curated record. The transcript has 3 exons. NCBI's taxonomy places the organism in Eukaryota, Metazoa, Arthropoda, Insecta, Hymenoptera, Formicidae.
UAAGCGCUCUGCGUCGCUGACAAAUCACAAACUUACAAGUUAACAUAGAUUGAGUGUUGAAGACUAUUACAAAAUGCGAUUCUCAUAUAUAAUAUUAGCUUUUGCCAUGAUCUUUGUUAUGGCGAUUAUGUAUACCGGAACAGAAGCAAGAGCAGAACCAUUAGCCGACGCUUUGCCAGAUAAGAAGCCACCAGUUACCCCCAAGCCACCAGUUACCCCCAGGCCAAAAUUAAGGCCUGUUCCGUUUCAUGGAAAGAAGUAGCUGCAUCUUUUGUGAAAUAAAAUACAAGUGAACAGCUGUUAAACCUGAAGAAAGAUUAUGAUAGAAAUGACGAAUUACAAGGGAUAUAUAUUAUAAAUAUCAUAUAUAUGUAUAUCAUUUUAAGCGAAAGUAUAAAUUAUAUUUAUAUGACUCUAUUGUACUUGCUUGUUUCAAAAUUAUGGAGAAAAAAUAAAUAAUAGGAUUGCAUCAUU